Molecule: unclassified non-coding RNA, 314 nt
Filed under: Pseudorhizobium banfieldiae
Lineage: Bacteria; Pseudomonadati; Pseudomonadota; Alphaproteobacteria; Hyphomicrobiales; Rhizobiaceae
Description: Rhizobium sp. NT-26 RNaseP_bact_a
Rfam family: Bacterial RNase P class A
About the family: Ribonuclease P (RNase P) is a ubiquitous endoribonuclease, found in archaea, bacteria and eukarya as well as chloroplasts and mitochondria. Its best characterised activity is the generation of mature 5'-ends of tRNAs by cleaving the 5'-leader elements of precursor-tRNAs.
Source: RNAcentral
GAGGAAAGUCCGGGCUCCACGGAAACACGGUGCCGGAUAACGUCCGGCGGGGGCGACCCCAGGGAAAGUGCCACAGAAAGGAUACCGCCCCGCCUGCUGUCCCGCUCCCAUCGAGCGGCAGAGCUGGCGGGGUAAGGGUGAAAGGGUGGGGUAAGAGCCCACCGCGUCGCUGGCGACAGGGACGGCAUGGUAAACCCCACCGGGAGCAAGACCGAAUAGGGAUGACGUGGGGCGCGCAAGCGCCUACAGCCGGUUUCCAGGCCAGUCAUCCGGGUGGGUUGCGCGAGGCGAUGUGCAAGCAUCGCCCCAGAUGA